Molecule: ribosomal RNA, 497 nt
Filed under: uncultured bacterium
Lineage: Bacteria
Description: partial 16S ribosomal RNA
Rfam family: Bacterial small subunit ribosomal RNA
Source: RNAcentral
GAUGAACGCUGGCGGCGUGCCUAAUACAUGCAAGUCGAGCGAACAGAUGAGGAGCUUGCUCCUCUGACGUUAGCGGCGGACGGGGGAGUAACACGUGGAUAACCUACCUAUAAGACUGGGAUAACUUCGGGAAACCGGAGCUAAUACCGGAUAAUAUAUUGAACCGCAUGGUUCAAUAGUGAAAGACGGUUUUGCUGUCACUUAUAGAUGGAUCCGCGCCGCAUUAGCUAGUUGGUAAGGUAACGGCUUACCAAGGCAACGAUGCGUAGCCGACCUGAGAGGGUGAUCGGCCACACUGGAACUGCGACACGGUCCAGACUCCUACGAGAGGCAGCAGUAGGGAAUCUUACGCAAUGGGCGAAAGCCUGACGGAGCAACGACGCGUGAGUAAUGAAGGUCUUCGGAUCGUAAAACUCUGUUAUUAGGGAAGAACAAAUGUGUAAGUAACUAUGCACGUCUUGACGGUACCUAAUCAGAAAGCCACGGCUAACUACGUG